Molecule: ribosomal RNA, 244 nt
Filed under: uncultured bacterium
Lineage: Bacteria
Description: partial small subunit ribosomal RNA
Rfam family: Bacterial small subunit ribosomal RNA
Source: RNAcentral
AGGGUGAACGCUGGCGGCGUGCUUAAGACAUGCAAGUCGAACGGGAAGAGCUUGCUCUUCUAGUGGCGCACGGGUGAGUAACGCGUAACUGACCUACCUCCAAGUUCAGCAUAACGUCUCGAAAGAGACGCUAAUUCUGAAUGUGAUCCCGGAUCGUGUUCCGUGAUUAAAGAAUUUCGCUUGGAGAUGGGGUUGCGUUCCAUCAGCUAGAUGGUGGGUAAAGGCCUACCAUGGCGACGACGGA